AGGCCUAAUAAGAAAGUGAGAAAGAGGAAGGACAGAAAGAGGGACCAGCUGCGGGAUAAAGUGUUUUAUGGAGUUAGAGCAGGGGAACUUAGAAACAAAAGUGUAUUUAAUAACUUCAUGAGACUGUGAUAAACAGUUUAUAUUUGAAAUAUAUACAGCACUUUGGGAGACUGAGGGUUGACCCUGAUAGUCCUUUGCACAGUGAUCUUCAGAUCUUAAAAGAAAAAGAAGGCAUAGAAUAUAUUUUGCUUAACUUCUCUUUUAAGGAUAACUUUCCAUUUGAUCCUCCAUUUGUUCGAGUGGUGUUACCUGUUCUCUCAGGAGGGUAUGUAUUGGGUGGAGGAGCAUUAUGUAUGGAACUUCUCACAAAACAGGGCUGGAGCAGUGCCUACUCAAUAGAAUCGGUCAUCAUGCAAAUAAAUGCCACCUUAGUCAAAGGCAAAGCCAGAGUGCAGUUUGGAGCAAAUAAGAAUCAAUAUAAUCUAGCAAGAGCCCAACAAUCCUAUAAUUCCAUUGUACAGAUACAUGAGAAAAAUGG
Molecule: small RNA, 538 nt
Filed under: Pan troglodytes (chimpanzee)
Lineage: Eukaryota; Metazoa; Chordata; Mammalia; Primates; Hominidae
Description: processed transcript
Source: RNAcentral